This 253-nucleotide unclassified non-coding RNA is filed under the name plant metagenome. Its description in RNAcentral is "partial contains small subunit ribosomal RNA, internal transcribed spacer 1, and 5.8S ribosomal RNA". The record is from RNAcentral.
UUUCCGUAGGUGAGCCUGCGGAAGGAUCAUUAAGGUUAUAGUCCCCCGGCCCUCUGGUCUGGGGUCUUCUUUACCACCCUUUGUUCAUUACACCUUUGUUCCUUUGGCAGGCCUGCCCCCGGGCUGCUGGCCCCGGCCGGCUCGCGGCUGCCAGAGGACCUAAACUCUGUUUGUAUAUGAAGUCUGAGUAAUAUAUAAUAGUUAAAACUUUCAACAACGGAUCUCUUGGUUCUGGCAUCGUGAAGAACGCAGC